CUCUCUGACCAAUGAAUGCAAA
RNAcentral lists this microRNA (22 nucleotides) under Anolis carolinensis (green anole). RNAcentral's name for it is "Aca-Mir-181-P2b_3p* (star (passenger))". The record is from RNAcentral. Lineage: Eukaryota; Metazoa; Chordata; Lepidosauria; Squamata; Anolidae.